This 253-nucleotide ribosomal RNA is filed under the name uncultured bacterium. RNAcentral describes it as "partial 16S ribosomal RNA". It matches the Rfam family "Bacterial small subunit ribosomal RNA", at positions 524 to 776 of the family's 1533-position model. The record is from RNAcentral.
UACGAAGGGGGCUAGCGUUGUUCGGAAUUACUGGGCGUAAAGCGCGUGUAGGCGGGUCUUUAAGUCAGGGGUGAAAUGCCAAGGCUCAACCUUGGAACUGCCUUUGAUACUGGAGAUCUUGAGUCCGGGAGAGGUGAGUGGAAUUGCGAGUGUAGAGGUGAAAUUCGUAGAUAUUCGCAAGAACACCAGUGGCGAAGGCGGCUCACUGGCCCGGAACUGACGCUGAGACGCGAAAGCGUGGUGAGCAAACAGG